AUUCUCCGGCCAAGCCCAGCUGCCUAGAGCGAGCUCCACUCCUCCAUCUGUUCGCCGGGGUCCUCGCUCCCCUGCCGGGGCCGGCGAGACGGCGUGAGGCCGGAGGGGGAUUUGCAAGGAAACCUGCCUGCUUCCCGCUCCCAUUGCUCCAUCCCCGCUGCCUCCUGCCUCCUGCUUCUCUCCUGCGUCUUUCCAACUCUCCCCUGUCGCCACUGGUGUGUGUCUGAGUGUGUGCGCGGUUUUUUUUUUUUAAUUGCUCUUUGCUUUUGCAACCCUGAAGCAAAAGGGGGGGGGGGUAGUUACAGGGAAAAAAAAAGCGAGAAAGAAGCUCUUAGAUUUGCAACACAUCGGAAAACCGGGGGAGCACCCCGCCUUAUCCGAUCUCCAUGCUCCGCAAGGGCCUUCCGGGUUUUAGGACAAGCUUCUCAAUGUCCCGUUUCGCUGGGUUUAGGAUCCGAGGAGUCCGAGCAAAAAGUUCUCCCCCUGGGUCGUAGUGACGGGUGUCGGGGUGGGAGUUGCGGGGAUUUUUCAAGAAGCAGCAGCUACCCCGGCGUCGGUCACUGGGCCGGGGUAGGGGAAAGAGCAAAAUCCCAGUGGGUUUGCGCGAGGGAUCUUCUAGGGUCGAGGCGGGUGUGGGGGGAGUUGGAACCGGGAGACACCGCUUGGCGCAUCUCUCCCUCGGUCUCUACCUCCUGUCCUAUGCCAGCUCCCCCUUUAAUUUUUUUCCUCUCCUUUAAUCUAAUUUCUUCCAACUCCACCUUUGUUGUUACCGGCGUCACACCCGGACCAGCCAAUCCCCGCCACGCAAUCAGCUUGUCAAAAAGCCUCGGCCAUCCCUAGGAAAGCAGGCCGCAGGCGCUGCCCCCCGGCGGCGGCGGGCAGCCGCGAGGGGAGCCCAGCACCCGGUUCUCGCUGCCCCGGGUGGCAGCGGGGCAGCCUCCGACAAGACGUCCCUUGGUUCACUGUCCUGCAGGCCGGGGAUGAAAGGCCUGGACAGGGUCCACCACCCACUCUCCCACUGCCACGGCCGUGGUUGACUGUCUUUGCCUCCCCUUUUCAGAGGAAAGGUUAUCAGGACAGGACGCAGGGAGCCAGAAGACCAUCUGAAGGAAGCCUGCUUCCAACGGGCCCAGCCUCCAGCCACCGCUCCUGGGGCAGCGCCAUUGCUCCUGGCUCUCAGGCUGCCAGUCUCCCACACCGACGCUCUACUGCCCGCAUCUCGGCCAGCUGGGUCACCCAGCCCCUUUCGACUCUCCCCUGGCACGCAGCCUUCUCCUUCACUCGGCCUGCCUCGCUGCUGCUGUAAUUCCUCUUGUCUCCUGGGAGAAAUGAGAUUGCUUUCCCAGGACUUCCACAUCCCACUUCUAUCAGGUUUCACCAACAGGGAGGAAGCCCUGUCAAGAUCUGGUGUGUCCUGUUUUUUUUUUUUUUUUUUCCCAGAGGGCACUGGCAUGUAGGAGAAGCGGAUUUACCACUAGUAGAUGUUAAUGAAAUUUCAGCUUCUAGGCCCCUAACUUGCAGGACCUGCCCAAGGCCCUGAACUUAAUUUUGUUUUCAUCAUUUGGUAUUUUUUUGUUAAAAGAGCCACCGACCACCUCCCCGCUACCCCAGAACUGCACGUGUUUCUGGCCCUACAAACCCAGAUCGUCCCUUGGAAUAUACACAGGGCAAUUUGUGUAGGAUCACACUGCGCUAAAAGUGAGGCAUGGUGGGCUAGGCGCACUGGCUCACACCUGUAAUCCCAGCACUUUGGGAGACCAAGACAGGAGGUCUUAAGUGAUUAAGCCCAGGAGUUCGAGAUCAGCUUAGACAACAUAGCAAGAUGCUGCCUCUACAAACACACACACCCCCUAUUAUAAUAUGUCAAAAAAAAAAAAAAAAAAAGGAAAAGUGAGGCAUAGAACUGACUUUAUUGUUUUGACUAGGAAAGAGCAAAGGGUUUGGAAUCAAAAGUCCCAACUUCCCCACCUUCUUAAUAGUGUGUGAAUCUGAGUGCCUUAUUAACCUUCCCUGGUCCCAGUUUCGUAUCUGUAAAGUUAGAAUAGCAAUCCUGUUUAAUUUGCUUCUCUCACCAGGGAUCAGAAGGCCAAAUGAGAUGAUGUAUGUAAAAUUGUAAAGUCCUCCACAGAUGGCACUUGCCACAUUACAGAGAACUUGAGACCCCCCCCCACCAAUAACGUUCCAAAUCUUCCACAUGCAGAUCUGGAGUCCAGGUGUCCUGGCUCCUGGCCCUGAACUUUUUGGCUGGGCCAAGGGGCUUUUCGGUAAAGUGCUUUGGAAUAAAACAGGAUGAACAUGAAUCAUAAGAA
Molecule: long non-coding RNA, 2309 nt
Filed under: Homo sapiens (human)
Lineage: Eukaryota; Metazoa; Chordata; Mammalia; Primates; Hominidae
Description: non-protein coding lnc-TMUB2-1:13
Source: RNAcentral